GGGGGUGUAGCUCAGCUGGGAGAGCGCCUGCCUUGCACGCAGGAGGUCAGGAGUUCGAUCCUCCUCAUCUCCACCA
Molecule: transfer RNA, 76 nt
Filed under: Ruminococcaceae bacterium OttesenSCG-928-I18
Lineage: Bacteria; Bacillati; Bacillota; Clostridia; Eubacteriales; Oscillospiraceae
Description: tRNA-Ala
Rfam family: tRNA
About the family: Transfer RNA (tRNA) molecules are approximately 80 nucleotides in length. Their secondary structure includes four short double-helical elements and three loops (D, anti-codon, and T loops).
Source: RNAcentral